GCGGUCGUAGUCUAGCCUGGUAGGACGGUGCCCUGCCACGGCACUGACCCGGGUUCAAAUCCCGGCGGCCGCA
This 73-nucleotide transfer RNA is filed under the name Thermoprotei archaeon. RNAcentral describes it as "tRNA-Gly". It matches the Rfam family "tRNA". From Rfam's summary of the family: Transfer RNA (tRNA) molecules are approximately 80 nucleotides in length. Lineage: Archaea; Thermoproteati; Thermoproteota; Thermoprotei. RNAcentral also lists the same sequence under 3 other names. The record is from RNAcentral.